AUAAUUUCUUACAGGGAGUUAUAUGCAAAUCACAUCAAUGGAACCAUUCCAAGAGAGCUCGGUAAACUAAGGAGACUCGUCAGUUUUGAUCUAUACCGGAAUCAUCUUUCAGGAACCAUACCAAAAUCUUUUGGACACUUAAAUUCCUUGAGAUUCUUGCGGGUAUCGCAAAAUAAUCUCGGUGGAGCUAUUCCAGCAUCUCUUGGAAACUUGACAUCUUUGGAAAUCUUAACUUUGAACAGUAACAAGUUUACUGGCAGUUUUCCGAUAACCGUUCUUUCGCUAAUUCUUCGCGGCAAUUUGAGGACUUUGGACUUCUCAGACAAUUUGUUGGCCGGGACCAUCCGCCGCGGCAAUUCAACUGGUCAAUUUUAUUUUACUUUACUACUAUUAUACAAGAUCCCAAAGCUCCAAAGCACUAGAUGCAAGAUAUUGAAGAACUACAGUCCCUCCUUCAUAGUUGAUAGAACA
This is a long non-coding RNA of Morus notabilis, 471 nucleotides long. RefSeq lists it as uncharacterized. NCBI's taxonomy places the organism in Eukaryota, Viridiplantae, Streptophyta, Magnoliopsida, Rosales, Moraceae. The record is from RefSeq and is a predicted model, not a curated record. The transcript has 5 exons.